This is a non-coding RNA of Xyrichtys novacula (pearly razorfish), 7292 nucleotides long. NCBI's taxonomy places the organism in Eukaryota, Metazoa, Chordata, Actinopteri, Labriformes, Labridae. The record is from the annotation of a GenBank genome assembly.
AUAUGAAAAAUUAAAAAACAAUAUUUGGGGUUUUCGGGGUUCCUGAAUGUAAUACCCGGGUAUUAGAUUUUGAGGCUAGGGUAAGGUUUAAGUUUUUUGGCAUUAGGGUUAAAAUCACUGUCCAAAACCUUUGUAGGAACUCUUUUCCAACCUUUUGGAGUUGGUUACACCAACAAAAAUGUAAAAUGAAGAAAAAAAUAUUUGGGGUGUUCAGGCUUCCUGAAGGUAAUACCCGGGUAUUAGAUUUCAAGGCUAGGGUAAGGUUUAAGGUUUUUGGCGUAAGGGUUAAAAUCACUGUCAAAACCUUUGUAGGAACUCUUUUCCAACCUUUUGGAGUUAGUUAGACCAAAAAAUAUGAAAAAAGAAAAAAAUAUUAUUGGGGGUUUUCGGGCUCCCUGAAAGUAAUACCCGUGUAUUAGGUUUUGGGACUAGGGAAAGGUUUAAGGGUUUUGGCGUUAGGGUUAAAAUCACUGUCCAAAACCUUUGUAGGAACUCUUUUCCAACCUUUUGGAGUUAGUUAGACCAAAAAAAAAUGAAAAAUUAAAAAAAAUAUAUUUGGGGUGUUCAGGCUUCCUAAAAGUAAUACCCGGGUAUUAGGUUAUGGGGCUAUGGUAAGGUUUAAGGUUUUUGGCGUUAGGUUUAAAAUCACUGUCCAAAACCUUUGUAGGAACUCUUUUUCAACCUUUUGGAGUUAGUUAGACCAAAAAAAAAAAAGAAAAAUGAAAAAAAAAAUAUUUGGGGUUUACGGGCUUCCUGAAUGUAAUACCCGGGUAUUAGAUUUUAAGGCCAGGGAAAGGUUUAAGUUUUUUGGCAUUAGGGUUAAAAUCACUGGCCAAAACCUUUGUAGGAACUCUUUUCCAACUUUUUGGAGUUAGUAAGACCAAAAAAUAUGAAAAAAGAAAAAAAUAUUAUUGGGGGUUUUCGGGCUUCCUGAAGGUAAUACCCAGGUAUUAGGUUUUGGGACUGGGGAAAGGUUUAAGGUUUUUGGCGUUAGGGUUAAAAUCACUGUCCAAAACCUUUGUAGGAACUCUUUUCCAACCUUUUGGAGUUAGUUUGACCAAAAAAAAAAGAAAAAUGAAAAAAAAAUAUUUGGGGAGUUCAGGCUUCCUAAAAGUAAUACCCAGGUAUUAGGUUUUGUGGCUAGGGUAAGGUUUAAGUUUUUUGGCAUAAGGGUUAAAAUCCCUGUCCAAAACCUUUGUAGGAACACUUUUCCAACCUUUUGGAAUUAGAUAAACCAAAAAAAUAUGAAAAAUGAAAAAAUAUAUAUUUGGGGUUUUCGGGCUUCCUGAAUGUAAUACCCGGGUAUUAGAUUUUAAGGCGAGGGUAAGGUUUAUGUUUUUUGGCGUUAGGGUUAAAAUCACUGUCCAAAACCUUUGUAGGAACUCUUUUCCAACCUUUUGGAGUUAGUUAAACCAAAAAAAAAAAGAAAAAUUAAAAAAUAUAUAUUUGGGGUUUUUUGGGCUUCCUGAAUGUUAUACCCGGGUAUUAGAUUUUAAGGCUAGGGUAAGGUUUAAGUUUUUUGGCGUUAGGGUUAAAAUCACUGUCCAAAACCUUUGUAGGAACUCUUUUCCAACCUUUUGGAGUUGGUUACACCAACAAAAAUGUAAAAUGAACAAAAAAAUAUUUGGGGUGUUCGGGCUUCCUGAAGGUAAUACCCGGGUAUUAGAUUUUAAGGCUAGGGUAAGGUUUAAGUUUUUUGGCGUUAGGGUUAAAAUCACUGUCCAAAACCUUUGUAGGAACUCUUUUCCAACCUUUUGGAGUUGGUUACACCAACAAAAAUGUAAAAUGAACAAAAAAAUAUUUGGGGUGUUCGGGCUUCCUGAAGGUAAUACCCCGGUAUUAGAUUUUAAGGCUAGGGUAAGGUUUAAGGUUUUUGGCGUUAGGGUUAAAAUCACUGUCCAAAACCUUUGUAGGAACUCUUUUCCAACCUUUUGGAGUUAGUUAGACCAAAAAGUAUGAAAAAAGAAAAAAAUAUUAUUGGGGGUUUUCGGGCUCCCUGAAAGUAAUACCCGGGUAUUAGGUUUUGGGGCUAUGGUAAGGUUUAAGUUUUUGGCGUUAGGGUUAAAAUCACUGUCCAAAACCUUUGUAGGAACUCUUUUCCAACCUUUUGGAGUUAGUUAGACCAAAAAAUAUGAAAAAAGAAAAAAAUAUUAUUGGGGGUUUUCGGGCUCCCUGAAAGUAAUACCCGGGUAUUAGGUUUUGGGGCUAUGGUAAGGUUUAAGUUUUUUGGCGUUAGGGUUAAAAUCACUGUCCAAAACCUUUGUAGGAACUCUUUUCCAACCUUUUGGAGUUAGUUAGACCAAAAAAAAAAAGAAAAAUGAAAAAAAAAUAUUUGGGGUGUUCAGGCUUCCUAAAAGUAAUACGGGUAUUAGGUUAUGGGGCUAUGGUAAGGUUUAAGUUUUUGGCGUUAGGGUUAAAAUCACUGUCCAAAACCUUUGUAGGAACUCUUUUUCAACCUUUUGGAGUUAGUUAGACCAAAAAAAAAAUGAAAAAUGAAAAAAAAAUAUUUGGGGGUUUUCGGGCUCCCUGAAAGUAAUACCCGGGUAUUAGGUUUUGGGACUAGGGAAAGGUUUAAGGGUUUUGGCGUUAGGGUUAAAAUCACUGUCCAAAACCUUUGUAGGAACUCUUUUCCAACCUUUUGGAGUUAGUUAGACCAAAAAAAAAAAGAAAAAUGAAAAAAAAAUAUUUGGGGUGUUCAGGCUUCCUAAAAGUAAUACCCGGGUAUUAGGUUAUGGGGCUAUGGUAAGGUUUAACGUUUUUGGCGUUAGGGUUAAAAUCACUGUCCAAAACCUUUGUAGGAACUCUUUUCCAACCUUUUGGAGUUAGUUAGACCAAAAAAAAAUGAAAAAAAAAAAAAAUAUAUUUGGGGUGUUCAGGCUUCCUAAAAGUAAUACCCGGGUAUUAGGUUAUGGAACUAUGGUAAGGUUUAAGGUUUUUGGCGUUAGGGUUAAAAUCACUGUCCAAAACCUUUGUAGGAACUCUUUUCCAACCUUUUGGAGUUAGUUAGACCAAAAAAAAAAUGAAAAAUGAAAAAAAAAAUAUUUGGGGUUUACGGGCUUCCUGAAUGUAAUACCCGGGUAUUAGAUUUUAAGGCCAGGGAAAGGUUUAAGUUUUUUGGCGUUAGGGUUAAAAUCACUGUCCAAAACCUUUGUAGGAACUCUUUUCCAACCUUUUGGAGUUAGUUAGACCAAAAAAAAAAAGAAAAAUGAACAAAAAAUAUUUGGGGUGUUCAGGCUUCCUAAAAGUAAUACCCGGGUAUUAGGUCAUGGGGCUAUGGUAAGGUUUAAGGUUUUUGGCGUUAGGGUUAAAAUCACUGUCCAAAACCUUUGUAGGAACUCUUUUUCAACCUUUUAGAGUUAGUUAGACCAAAAAAAAAAUGAAAAAUGAAAAAAAAAUAUUUGGGGUUUACGGGCUUCCUGAAUGUAAUACCCGGGUAUUAGAUUUUAAGGCCAGGGAAAGGUUUAAGUUUUUUGGCGUUAGGGUUAAAAUCACUGUCCAAAACCUUUGUAGGAACUCUUUUCCAACCUUUUGGAGUUAGUUAGACCAAAAAAUAUGAAAAAAGAAAAAAAUAUUAUUGGGGGUUUUCGGGCUUCCCUGAAAGUAAUACCCGGGUAUUAGGUUAUGGGGCUAUGGUAAGGUUUAAGUUUUUUGGCGUUAGGGUUAAAAUCACUGUCCAAAACCUUUGUAGGAACUCUUUUCCAACCUUUUGGAGUUAGUUAGACCAAAAAAUAUGAAAAAAGAAAAAAAUAUUAUUGGGGGUUUUCGGGCUCCCUGAAAGUAAUACCCGGGUAUUAGGUUAUGGGGCUAUGGUAAGGUUUAAGUUUUUUGGCGUUAGGGUUAAAAUCACUGUCCAAAACCUUUGUAGGAACUCUUUUCCAACCUUUUGGAGUUAGUUAGACCAAAAAAAAAAGGAAAAUGAAAAAAAAUAUUUGGGGUGUUCAGGCUUCCUAAAAGUAAUACCCGGGUAUUAGGUCAUGGGGCCAUGGUAAGGUUUAAGGUUUUUGGCGUUAGGGUUAAAAUCACUGUCCAAAACCUUUGUAGGAACUCUUUUUCAACCUUUUAGAGUUAGUUAGACCAAAAAAAAAUGAAAAAUGAAAAAAAAAUAUUUGGGGUUCACGGGCUUCCUGAAUGUAAUACCCGGGUAUUAGAUUUUAAGGCCAGGGAAAGGUUUAAGUUUUUUGGCGUUAGGGUUAAAAUCACUGUCCAAAACCUUUGUAGGAACUCUUUUCCAACCUUUUGGAGUUAGUUAGACCAAAAAAAAAAAGAAAAAUGAAAAAAAUAUUAUUGGGGGUUUUCGGGCUCCCUGAAAGUAAUACCCGGGUAUUAGGUUUUGGGGCUAUGGUAAGGUUUAAGUUUUUUGGCGUUAGGGUUAAAAUCACUGUCCAAAACCUUUGUAGGAACUCUUUUCCAACCUUUUGGAGUUAGUUAGACCAAAAAAAAAAUGAAAAAUUAAAAAACAAUAUUUGGGGUUUUCGGGGUUCCUGAAUGUAAUACCCGGGUAUUAGAUUUUAAGGCUAGGGUAAGGUUUAAGUUUUUUGGCGUUAGGGUUAAAAUCACUGUCCAAAACCUUUGUAGGAACUCUUUUCCAACCUUUUGGAGUUGGUUACACCAACAGAAAUGUAAAAUGAAGAAAAAAUAUUUGGGGUGUUCAGGCUUCCUGAAGGUAAUACCCGGGUAUUAGGAUUUCAAGGCUAGGGUAAGGUUUAAGGUUUUUGGCGUUAGGGUUAAAAUCACUGUCCAAAACCUUUGUAGGAACUCUUUUCCAACCUUUUGGAGUUAGUUAGACCAAAAAAUAUGAAAAAAGAAAAAAAUAUUAUUGGGGGUUUUCGGGCUCCCUGAAAGUAAUACCCGUGUAUUAGGUUUUGGGACUAGGGAAAGGUUUAAGGGUUUUGGCGUUAGGGUUAAAAUCACUGUCCAAAACCUUUGUAGGAACUCUUUUCCAACCUUUUGGAGUUAGUUAGACCAAAAAAUAAGAAAAAUGAAAAAAAAAUAUUUGGGGUGUUCAGGCUUCCUAAAAGUAAUACCCGGGUAUUAGGUUAUGGGGCUAUGGUAAGGUUUAACGUUUUGGCGUUAGGUUUAAAAUCACUGUCCAAAACCUUUGUAGGAACUCUUUUCCAACCUUUUGGAUUUAGUUAGACCAAAAAAAAAUGAAAAAUUAAAAAAAAUAUAUUUGGGGUGUUCAGGCUUCCUAAAAGUAAUACCCGGGUAUUAGGUCAUGGGGCUAUGGUAAGGUUUAAGGUUUUUGGCGUUAGGGUUAAAAUCACUGUCCAAAACCUUUGUAGGAACUCUUUUUCAACCUUUUGGAGUUAGUUAGACCAAAAAAAAAAUGAAAAAUGAAAAAAAAAAUAUUUGGGGUUUACGGGCUUCCUGAAUGUAAUACCCGGGUAUUAGAUUUUAAGGCCAGGGAAAGGUUUAAGUUUUUUGGCGUUAGGGUUAAAAUCACUGUUUACGGGCUUCCUGAAUGUAAUACCCGAGUAUUAGGUUUUGGGGCUAUGGUAAGGUUUAAGUUUUUUGGCGUUAGGGUUAAAAUCACUGUCCAAAACCUUUGUAGGAACUCUUUUCCAACCUUUUGGAGUUAGUUAGACCAAAAAAUAUGAAAAAAGAAAAAAAUAUUAUUUGGGGUUUUCGGGCUCCCUGAAAGUAAUACCCGGGUAUUAGGUUUUGGGGCUAUGGUAAGGUUUAAGUUUUUUGGCGUUAGGGUUAAAAUCACUGUCCAAAACCUUUGUAGGAACUCUUUUCCAACCUUUUGGAGUUAGUUAGACCAAAAAAAAAUGAAAAAUAAAAAAAUAUAUUUGGGGUGUUCAGGCUUCCUAAAAGUAAUACCCGGGUAUUAGGUUAUGGGGCUAUGGUAAGGUUUAAGGUUUUUGGCGUUAGGGUUAAAAUCACUGUCCAAAACCUUUGUAGGAACUCUUUUUCAACCUUUUGGAGUUAGUUAGACCAAAAAAAAAAUGAAAAAUGAAAAAAAAAAUAUUUGGGGUUUACGGGCUUCCUGAAUGUAAUACCCGGGUAUUAGAUUUUAAGGCCAGGGAAAGGUUUAAGUUUUUUGGCGUUAGGGUUAAAAUCACUGUCCAAAACCUUUGUAGGAACUCUUUUCCAACCUUUUGGAGUUAGUUAGACCAAAAAAUAUGAAAAAAGAAAAAAAUAUUAUUGGGGGUUUUCGGGCUUCCUGAAGGUAAUACCCAGGUAUUAGGUUUUGGGACUGGGGAAAGGUUUAAGGUUUUUGGCGUUAGGGUUAAAAUCACUGUCCAAAACCUUUGUAGGAACUCUUUUCCAACCUUUUGGAGUUAGUUUGACCAAAAAAAAAAGAAAAAUGAAAAAAAAAAUAUUUGGGGUUUACGGGCUUCCUAAAAGUAAUACCCAGGUAUUAGGUUUUGUGGCUAGGGUAAGGUUUAAGUUUUUUGGCGUUAGGGUUAAAAUCACUGUCCAAAACCUUUGUAGGAACUCUUUUCCAACCUUUUGGAGUUAGUUAAACCAAAAAAAAAAUAUGAAAAAUGAAAAAAUAUAUAUUUGGGGUUUUCGGGCUUCCUGAAUGUAAUACCCGGGUAUUAGUUUUAAGGCUAGGGUAAGGUUUAAGUUUUUUGGCGUUAGGGUUAAAAUCACUGUCCAAAACCUUUGUAGGAACUCUUUUCCAACCUUUUGGAGUUAGUUAAACCAAAAAAAAAAAAGAAAAAUGAAAAAAUAUAUAUUUGGGGUUUUCGGGCUUCCUGAAUGUAAUACCCGGGUAUUAGAUUUUAAGGCUAGGGUAAGGUUUAAGUUUUUUGGCGUUAGGGUUAAAAUCACUGUCCAAAACCUUUGUAGGAACUCUUUUCCAACCUUUUGGAGUUAGUUACACCAAAAAAAUGUAAAAUGAAAAAAAAAAUAUUUGGGGUGUUCGGGCUUCCUGAAGGUAAUACCCGGGUAUUAGAUUUUAAGGCUAGGGUAAGGUUUAAGUUUUUUGGCGUUAGGGUUAAAAUCACUGUCCAAAACCUUUGUAGGAACUCUUUUCCAACCUUUUGGAGUUAGUUAGACCAAAAAGUAUGAAAAAAGAAAAAAAUAUUAUUGGGGGUUUUCGGGCUCCCUGAAAGUAAUACCCGUGUAUUAGGUUUUGGGACUAGGGAAAGGUUUAAGGGUUUUGGCGUUAGGGUUAAAAUCACUGUCCAAAACCUUUGUAGGAACUCUUUUCCAACCUUUUGGAGUUAGUUAGACCAAAAAAAAAAAGAAAAAUGAAAAAAAAAUAUUUGGGGUGUUCAGGCUUCCUAAAAGUAAUACCCAGGAAUUAGGUUAUGGGGCUAUGGUAAGGUUUAACGUUUUGG